RNAcentral lists this ribosomal RNA (1486 nucleotides) under uncultured organism. Its description in RNAcentral is "SSU rRNA". It matches the Rfam family "Bacterial small subunit ribosomal RNA". The record is from RNAcentral.
CAGGAUGAACGCUGGCGGCGUGCCUAAUACAUGCAAGUCGAACGAGUUCUGAUUAUUGAAAGGUGCUUGCAUCUUGAUUUAAUUUUGAACGAGUGGCGGACGGGUGAGUAACACGUGGGUAACCUGCCCUUAAGUGGGGGAUAACAUUUGGAAACAGAUGCUAAUACCGCAUAAAUCCAAGAACCGCAUGGUUCUUGGCUGAAAGAUGGCGUAAGCUAUCGCUUUUGGAUGGACCCGCGGCGUAUUAGCUAGUUGGUGAGGUAACGGCUCACCAAGGCAAUGAUACGUAGCCGAACUGAGAGGUUGAUCGGCCACAUUGGGACUGAGACACGGCCCAAACUCCUACGGGAGGCAGCAGUGGGGAAUCUUCCACAAUGGACGCAAGUCUGAUGGAGCAACGCCGCGUGAGUGAAGAAGGCUUUCGGGUCGUAAAACUCUGUUGUUGGAGAAGAAUGGUCGGCAGAGUAACUGUUGUCGGCGUGACGGUAUCCAACCAGAAAGCCACGGCUAACUACGUGCCAGCAGCCGCGGUAAUACGUAGGUGGCAAGCGUUAUCCGGAUUUAUUGGGCGUAAAGCGAGCGCAGGCGGUUUUUUAAGUCUGAUGUGAAAGCCCUCGGCUUAACCGAGGAAGUGCAUCGGAAACUGGGAAACUUGAGUGCAGAAGAGGACAGUGGAACUCCAUGUGUAGCGGUGAAAUGCGUAGAUAUAUGGAAGAACACCAGUGGCGAAGGCGGCUGUCUGGUCUGUAACUGACGCUGAGGCUCGAAAGCAUGGGUAGCGAACAGGAUUAGAUACCCUGGUAGUCCAUGCCGUAAACGAUGAAUGCUAGGUGUUGGAGGGUUUCCGCCCUUCAGUGCCGCAGCUAACGCAUUAAGCAUUCCGCCUGGGGAGUACGACCGCAAGGUUGAAACUCAAAGGAAUUGACGGGGGCCCGCACAAGCGGUGGAGCAUGUGGUUUAAUUCGAAGCAACGCGAAGAACCUUACCAGGUCUUGACAUCUUUUGAUCACCUGAGAGAUCAGGUUUCCCCUUCGGGGGCAAAAUGACAGGUGGUGCAUGGUUGUCGUCAGCUCGUGUCGUGAGAUGUUGGGUUAAGUCCCGCAACGAGCGCAACCCUUAUGACUAGUUGCCAGCAUUUAGUUGGGCACUCUAGUAAGACUGCCGGUGACAAACCGGAGGAAGGUGGGGAUGACGUCAAAUCAUCAUGCCCCUUAUGACCUGGGCUACACACGUGCUACAAUGGAUGGUACAACGAGUUGCGAGACCGCGAGGUCAAGCUAAUCUCUUAAAGCCAUUCUCAGUUCGGACUGUAGGCUGCAACUCGCCUACACGAAGUCGGAAUCGCUAGUAAUCGCGGAUCAGCACGCCGCGGUGAAUACGUUCCCGAGCCUUGUACACACCGCCCGUCACACCAUGAGAGUUUGUAACACCCGAAGCCGGUGGCGUAACCCUUUUAGGGAGCGAGCCGUCUAAGGUGGGACAAAUG